RNAcentral lists this ribosomal RNA (846 nucleotides) under Exiguobacterium sp. RNAcentral's name for it is "bacterial SSU rRNA". It matches the Rfam family "Bacterial small subunit ribosomal RNA", at positions 57 to 874 of the family's 1533-position model. The record is from RNAcentral. Lineage: Bacteria; Bacillati; Bacillota; Bacilli; Caryophanales.
GCAGUCGAGCGCAGGAAGCUCACGGAACUCUUCGGAGGGAAGUGAAGGGAAUGAGCGGCGGACGGGUGAGUAACACGUAAGGAACCUGCCCCAAGGAUUGGGAUAACUCCGAGAAAUCGGAGCUAAUACCGAAUAGUUCUUCAGACCGCAUGGUCUGAUGAUGAAAGGCGCUCCGGCGUCACCUUGGGAUGGCCUUGCGGUGCAUUAGCUAGUUGGUGGGGUAAUGGCCCACCAAGGCGACGAUGCAUAGCCGACCUGAGAGGGUGAUCGGCCACACUGGGACUGAGACACGGCCCAGACUCCUACGGGAGGCAGCAGUAGGGAAUCUUCCACAAUGGACGAAAGUCUGAUGGAGCAACGCCGCGUGAGUGAUGAAGGUUUUCGGAUCGUAAAACUCUGUUGUAAGGGAAGAACAGGUAUGAGAGGUAAUGCUCAUGCUAUGACGGUACCUUGCGAGAAAGCCACGGCUAACUACGUGCCAGCAGCCGCGGUAAUACGUAGGUGGCAAGCGUUGUCCGGAAUUAUUGGGCGUAAAGCGCGCGCAGGCGGCCUUUUAAGUCUGAUGUGAAAGCCCCCGGCUCAACCGGGGAGGGUCAUUGGAAACUGGAAGGCUUGAGUACAGAAGAGAAGAGUGGAAUUCCAUGUGUAGCGGUGAAAUGCGUAGAGAUGUGGAGGAACACCAGUGGCGAAGGCGACUCUUUGGUCUGUAACUGACGCUGAGGCGCGAAAGCGUGGGGAGCAAACAGGAUUAGAUACCCUGGUAGUCCACGCCGUANACGAUGAGUGCUAGGUGUUGGGGGGUUUCCGCCCCUCAGUGCUGAAGCUAACGCAUUAAGCACUCCGCCU